GGUUGUGACGCCAGUCGCAUCGCCGGGUAGCUAUGUUCGGAAGGGAUAACCGCUGAAAGCAUCUAAGCGGGAAGCCUACCUCAAGAUAAGAUUUCCCUAGGACUUUAUGUCCUCUAAAGAGCCGUUCGAGACUAGGACGUUGAUAGGUUGGAUGUGGAAGCAUAGUGAUAUGUGAAGCUGACCAAUACUAAUUGCUCGUGAGGCUUGACUAUACAACACCCAAGCAGUUG
This 230-nucleotide ribosomal RNA is filed under the name Acinetobacter baumannii. RNAcentral describes it as "partial 23S ribosomal RNA". It matches the Rfam family "Bacterial large subunit ribosomal RNA", at positions 2719 to 2925 of the family's 2925-position model. The record is from RNAcentral. Lineage: Bacteria; Pseudomonadati; Pseudomonadota; Gammaproteobacteria; Moraxellales; Moraxellaceae.